UUCAAGCUCGUGGUGAAAUGAAACAAUGAGUCAGCAAAUAGUCAAAGGACACGUGGUAAGUGACCUGACAAUUGAAUUUAAAACCAACACAAAAUUCGCGUUGUUCAGUGAAACUCCGUCCACUACCUCAGGAAACCCUCCGUCACGGGCCGCCGCGCCGGAAAUCGUCUCCGGCGACAGCGACCGUCAAAAUGAAAAAAGGAAGCUACCGCGCUGCUCGUGUCCUCAAGCUCUAUCCGGAUCCACAACUGAUUUCAUAAGAUCCGAAUCCUAGGUUUCUAACCGAAUCAACAAUUAUCAAGAACCCUAGGUAUCUAUGUCCAAAUUAAAUACCAAUCAUACUACGACGCAAUCUUAGACCUUAGGGUUAUAGUCACUCAGUCCCCCCUAACCUACUAGUAACGAGAAACGGAGAAAAAGAUGGAGUUCAAAAAGCGUACCGGAGUAUCUUGACGGUGGCAACGACGACGAAAUUUCAGGGAGAUACGGCGGCGAGUAUUGGAGAUGGAAAAGGAUCGCCGAUUGAUUGGUUUAAUCAGGGAGGGACUCGUGAUUCAGGGAUUGUCGAUGAUGAUGGUGGUGAAAGCUCUGGAGAUUGUGGAGACUGGGAUUGAGGGAGAGUGGAUAUUCCGGCGAUUGUUGACGACGGAGAAUUCAAGGUGUCAUGAAUAUGUAGAGAUUGAAGAGUGACCGAAGUUGAAUAUCAGAGCAGUGAGUGUGUAGUUUGAGCGUGAAAAGAGUGAUCACCCUUGGAUGAAUCAUGAAGAGUGAAUUUAUAGGUGAGUUAGCAUUGGUACUGUGGAAUUUUAGUUAGGAGUUAGUUUUCAAUUUCUGAUAUUUUCUGGAUCCCUAUGCGAUUAGUUAGACAGCUGGCAUGGUAGUUAAGUUAAGUUGGUUAGAUGAGUGUAAAAAAAAUCUAUUAAUGAUUGGCCACUGUAGGUUAUAUUUGAGCUGAAGUCAUGUGAGAUUUUGUUGGUGACCUGCUGAACCUGUUGCAACUUCUAAUUUUAAUGUGUUCAGUGAGGCCAUUUCAGGUUUGAGUUGGUGACCAGCUCGUUGCUUAGGUCAGGCUUUGGAUUAUUACUGUGUGGUAAUGGUUGACAUGCUAAUUUUGCAUUGCCUUGACUUGGUUUAUCCUUGUUUUUUUAUUUGCGAUUUCUCAUGCUUGGUUCCAAGGUAAGUUUAGGAUUUGGCUCCUUUGAUGUAUGGUAUGGUAUUGUGUACUGCGACAUGGUAAUGUAUGUUCUGCAGUAGGCCAUGAUUUGCACUGCUUUCCUGCUUUUUGUUGCAUGUUAUUACUGCAUUGCCUUUGGUUCUGGUUGUAGUAGUUUAUAGUAUGGUUUUGCAGGUCUGGUUGAGUUACCUUGAUGCUGCAGGAGCUUGUUCAGGGUCUGUUUCCGCUGUAGGAUUCAUGAGCUGCCUACAAUGUAAUAGGUAUGCUGUGGUGCAGAUCCUAUGGUCUUCUACAUGGAUACUCUAUUGAUGGAUUAAUAGGCCAGGCUCAUGUUAUGUUGUAAAUCUCAGUUGCCUUGAUUUUGGUUGUUGGUCAUAUUUGGUUUGAGUGAACUGCAACGGUGUGUAUGUUGCAGCAGGUUUGGUUCCCGGCUUGGUCAAGAUGUGGUUUUGCUGCAAGUUCAUGGGACCUUAUACAGCAUAUGCGUUUCAUUGCCUAUCCUGGUGUGUAGGUUGACUACUGAUGGAUGUACUACAGGUUCCUAUACGCUGCAGAAACCCCACGGUCUUGCAAGCUGCCAAUAGGUGUGUCCUUGCUGAACUUAUCAUGUUGCAGGAUUCAUGGCUCAUGACAUAAUGUUAAUAGCAUCACUAAUGGUCACAUAGAUUUCUUCAUUAUUAUGGUGCGGAUGAACAUCGUCAAAUGCAUUGAUUCAAGAUGAAGCGAUGCAUUGUUCUUGGCUUUUGUUUGAACAGACUCCUGGCCUGGUUCAAUGGCUUCAGCUGCAACACAGUUUGGUGAGUGUUUUGCAUCUGCCUUAGUUUAAACAACAUGUUCUAGCUACUCUAAAUUUGAGUGAUGUACUUGAUGUUUCAUAUUUCGUAGUAGUCAUGGAUUGGUUAGGUUGCCUUGCAAGAUGCUUGUUGACUGCUGUGGUUACAACAUUCUUGUAAAGUGGUUUUACUAGCUAACAGGACUUGGUGAGUUGUAAGGAGCUUGUGGUUCUGCAACAAUAAUUUAAUGCCCAUUGCCUCUUGUCUUUCUUGCAGCAUAUGUGCAACAUCAGAUCUCGUACGCGUGCUCUUUCCUUCGUUGCGAAUUUCAAGCUCUUUGGAAAUAACAUGAAACUCAUAUUUAAGUGAAUUGAUUUAUCUUUCACAUGAUUCUACAUUGCUCUUAUGAUGCUCAAUGAGCUUUUCCUUCACUUAGCUCAAAUAUCAUGUUAAAACGUUCCUGCAAGGACCUUGACGGAGCUGCAUUAUCAGCAACAGACCUGAGGAGCUCUUGUUCAAAAUUUUGUAUCCUAGCCUCAAACUCAACCUUAAUCUUAUCCAAUUGUUUGGUUUUUACAAGGGUGACUUCCUGUAUUUUCAAUUCAUGUUCUUCUUUCAGGUUUCUCAUUUUGAUGGUUUCCCUACAUUGAGGUGGUGCAUGUUGAUGCGCCAUAUUGCCUUGAUGGCCUACUGCAGGGUUAGGACUUAGGUUGCUAUCCUGUGAAAUGAUGAUCUUAGUCAUUCUGCAGGCAUUAUCAAGGGGAGCAUUACGCAUUGCAGACUUGUGCAGAAGGGUGCUAUUGUCUCAUGGUUUGCAGCAGGCACAUGAACGACGACAUGGUUAAGCAAGGUUUGGACCAUGACAUUAAAGAUGAUGGGAUUUUGAAGUUGUAUGUACAAAAGGCAAGCCAAAGGUCAAAAUGGGAUUUAGAUAUUAGGAUUCGAUUGGGGUGGGAAAUUGGGGUUUUGGGUUGACUUUGGUCAAAGUUGACCAAAAAGUCAACUAUUGACCAAAGUCAACAAUUGGUUAAAGUUGUAAUUUUUUCAUGUUUUGGACACUUUGCUUGACUAUGUAAUGAAGGAAAUUGAUACAUAAUGAAAUUAAUUGGUUUUGAAACGA
This is a long non-coding RNA of Lathyrus oleraceus (garden pea), 3067 nucleotides long. RefSeq lists it as uncharacterized. The record is from RefSeq and is a predicted model, not a curated record. NCBI's taxonomy places the organism in Eukaryota, Viridiplantae, Streptophyta, Magnoliopsida, Fabales, Fabaceae. The transcript has 7 exons.